CCUACGUGCGGCUGCAGUAGGGAAUAUUGCUCAAUGGGGGAAACCCUGAAGCAGCAACGCCGCGUGGAGGAUGAAGGUUUUCGGAUUGUAACCUCCUUUUGUUAGAGAAGAUAAUUACGGUAUCUAACGCAUAAUCACUGGCUAACUCCGUGCCAGCAGCCGCGGUACUACGGAGGGUGCAAGCGUUACUCGGAAUCACUGGGCGUAAAGAGCGCGUAGGCGGGAUAGCAAGUCAGAUGUGAAAUCCUAUGGCUUAACCAUAGAACUGCAUUUGAAACUGUUAUUCUAGAGUAUGGGAGAGGUAGGUGGAAUUCUUGGUGUAGGGGUAAAAUCCGUAGAGAUCAAGAGGAAUACUCAUUGCGAAGGCGACCUGCUAGAACAUAACUGACGCUGAUGCGCGAAAGCGUGGGGAGCAAACAGGAUUAGAUACCCCUGUAGUC
RNAcentral lists this ribosomal RNA (440 nucleotides) under uncultured bacterium. RNAcentral's name for it is "partial 16S ribosomal RNA". It matches the Rfam family "Bacterial small subunit ribosomal RNA", at positions 338 to 795 of the family's 1533-position model. The record is from RNAcentral.